This 159-nucleotide ribosomal RNA is filed under the name uncultured fungus. RNAcentral's name for it is "5.8S ribosomal RNA". It matches the Rfam family "5.8S ribosomal RNA". From Rfam's summary of the family: 5.8S ribosomal RNA (5.8S rRNA) is a component of the large subunit of the eukaryotic ribosome. It is transcribed by RNA polymerase I as part of the 45S precursor that also contains 18S and 28S rRNA. Functionally, it is thought that 5.8S rRNA may be involved in ribosome translocation. Lineage: Eukaryota; Fungi. The record is from RNAcentral.
CAACUUUCAACAACGGAUCUCUUGGUUCUGGCAUCGAUGAAGAACGCAGCGAAAUGCGAUAAGUAGUGUGAAUUGCAGAAUUCAGUGAAUCAUCGAAUCUUUGAACGCACAUUGCGCCCCUUGGUANUUCCAUGGGGCAUGCCUGUUCGAGCGUCAUUU